This 253-nucleotide ribosomal RNA is filed under the name uncultured bacterium. RNAcentral's name for it is "partial 16S ribosomal RNA". It matches the Rfam family "Bacterial small subunit ribosomal RNA", at positions 524 to 776 of the family's 1533-position model. The record is from RNAcentral.
UACAGAGGUCCCAAGCGUUGUUCGGAUUCACUGGGCGUAAAGGGUGCGUAGGCGGUCGGGUAAGUCUGAUGUGAAAUCUCACAGCUUAACUGUGAAACUGCAUUGGAUACUAUUCGGCUUGAGAGUUGGAGGGGGGACUGGAAUUCUCGGUGUAGCAGUGAAAUGCGCAGAUAUCGGGAGGAACACCAAUGGCGAAGGCAGCUCGCUGGGACGGUACUGACGCUGAGACGCGAAAGCGUGGGGAGCAAACAGG